GGGGUUGUGACUCAGUGGUAGAGCACUCACCUAGCAUGUGUGAGGCCCUGGAUUCAAUUCUCAGCACCACA
RNAcentral lists this transfer RNA (71 nucleotides) under Marmota monax (woodchuck). RNAcentral describes it as "tRNA.Ala". The record is from RNAcentral. Lineage: Eukaryota; Metazoa; Chordata; Mammalia; Rodentia; Sciuridae.